GAUGAAGAACGUAGCGAAAUGCGAUAAGUAAUGUGAAUUGCAGAAUUCAGUGAAUCAUCGAAUCUUUGAACGCACAUUGCGCCCGCCAGUAUUCUGGCGGGCAUGCCUGUUCGAGCGUCAUUUCAACCCUCAGGCCCCCAGUGCCUGGUGUUGGGGAUCGGCCCAGCCUUCCUGUAAGGCCGCCGGCCCCGAAAUCUAGUGGCGGUCUCGCUGUAGUCCUCCUCUGCGUAGUAGCACAACCUCGCAGUUGGAACGCGGCUGUGGCCAUGCCGUUAAACACCCCACUUCUGAAAGUUGACCUCGGAUCAGGUAGGAAUACCCGCUGAACUUAAGCAUAUCAAUAAGCGGAGGA
This 352-nucleotide unclassified non-coding RNA is filed under the name soil metagenome. RNAcentral's name for it is "partial contains 5.8S ribosomal RNA, internal transcribed spacer 2, and large subunit ribosomal RNA". The stretch from base 1 to 120 matches the Rfam family "5.8S ribosomal RNA", at positions 35 to 154 of the family's 154-position model. The record is from RNAcentral.